Molecule: RNA transcript, 3898 nt
Organism: Spea bombifrons (plains spadefoot toad)
Lineage: Eukaryota; Metazoa; Chordata; Amphibia; Anura; Pelobatidae
Gene: EPHA4
Gene name: EPH receptor A4
Exons: 18
Source: RefSeq, a predicted model, not a curated record
GUGACAGAGAGAAGCGGGGCAGAGGGGUACAGGAGUGCGGCGGUCACGCCCCCUUGGCAGUGUCUUGCAGCUGCACUAAAACUUGGAGCAUUUAUUCCGCUGGGAUAUCGCGAGCAGCCGAGCAGCGCAGUCACCGUCCGCACAUCAGCCCGAAAACAGCCACCAUGGCUGGGAUUGUACACUUUCUCUGCUUUGCCCUGCUCUUUGGAGUGUGCUCGGCGGUUACCGGAUCUAGGAUUUACCCUGCCAAUGAAGUUACCCUCCUGGACUCCAGAUCCGUGCAGGGAGAACUUGGCUGGAUAGCGAGCCCGUUGGAAGGAGGGUGGGAGGAAGUGAGCAUCAUGGAUGAGAAGAACACUCCUAUCCGAACGUAUCAAGUCUGCAACGUAAUGGAGCCAAGUCAGAACAAUUGGUUACGGACUGACUGGAUCCCCCGAAGCGGGGCUCAGAGAGUAUACGUUGAGAUUAAAUUCACAUUGAGGGACUGCAACAGUUUGCCUGGGGUGAUGGGCACGUGCAAGGAGACAUUUAAUCUCUACUACUACGAGUCCAACAACGACAAGGAACGUUACAUCCGCGAGACCCAGUUUGUCAAAAUUGACACCAUCGCAGCCGAUGAGAGCUUCACUCAGGUGGACAUUGGAGAUCGGAUUAUGAAGCUCAAUACGGAGGUCAGAGAUGUGGGCCCACUCAGCAAGAAGGGCUUCUACUUGGCCUUUCAGGAUGUUGGCGCAUGCAUUGCCCUUGUCUCUGUCCGUGUAUUCUACAAGAAGUGUCCUCUGACCGUGAGGAACCUGGCUCAGUUCCCUGACACCAUUACUGGCUCAGAUACCUCUUCACUGGUGGAGGUCCGUGGUUCAUGCGUUAACAACUCUGAGGAAAAAGAUGUGCCCAAGAUGUACUGUGGGGCUGAUGGCGAGUGGCUCGUGCCCAUUGGGAACUGCCUUUGUAAUGCUGGGUUUGAAGAGCGCAAUGGAGGGUGCCAAGCCUGCAAAGCCGGACAUUACAAAGCCCUCUCCAAAGACCCCGCGUGUUCCAAGUGUCCGGCGCACAGCUAUGCGCUCCGAGAAGGAUCAACCUUCUGCACCUGUGACCGGGGCUAUUUUCGGGCAGAGACUGACCCCGCAUUCAUGGCUUGCACCCGGCCCCCUUCGGCUCCCCAGAACCUGAUUUCUAAUGUCAAUGAGACUUCCGUGAAUUUGGAAUGGAGUGCUCCCCAAAGCACAGGCGGAAGGAGCGAUGUCACCUACAACGUUGUGUGCAAGAGGUGCGGUACGGACUUGACUCGCUGCCGGCCCUGCGGAAGUGGAAUCCACUACUCACCGCAACAGAACGACUUACAAACCACCAAAGUCUCCAUCACCGACUUGCAGGCCCACACCAACUACACCUUUGAGAUCUGGGCCGUGAAUGGAGUCUCCAAGCAGAACCCUAGCCAGGACCAGGCAGUCUCAGUUACAGUAACAACCAACCAAGCAGCUCCUUCAACCGUAGCUCAGAUUCAGCCCAAAGAGAUAACCAGGCACAGUGUGUCCUUAUCCUGGCCAGAACCAGAACGGGCCAACGGAGUCAUCCUGGAAUAUGAAGUCAAGUAUUACGAGAAGGAUCAAAACGAUCGCAGCUACCGAAUUGUGAAGACGGCCGCGCGCAACGCAGAUAUCAAAGGCCUUAAUCCUCUUACAGCCUACGUGUUCCACGUCCGCGCUCGGACCGCUGCUGGAUAUGGAGAGUUUAGCGGACCGUUUGAGUUCACCACAAAUACAGUUCCAUCCCCGAUGAUCGGUGAAGGCGCCAACCCCACUGUUCUCUUGGUCUCCGUGGCGGGCAGCAUUGUCCUUUUGGUCAUUCUUAUCGCGGCCUUUGUCAUCAGCAGAAGACGAAGCAAAUACAGCAAAGCAAAGCAGGAAGCAGACGAAGAAAAGCAUUUAAACCAAGGUGUAAAGACCUAUGUGGACCCAUUCACUUAUGAAGAUCCUAACCAAGCCGUUCGAGAAUUUGCCAAAGAAAUCGAUGCUUCUUGUAUCAAAAUUGAAAAAGUCAUUGGAGUCGGUGAAUUUGGAGAGGUGUGCAGUGGACGUUUGAAAGUUCCCGGGAAGAGGGAAAUCUAUGUGGCCAUCAAGACUCUGAAGGCUGGUUACACAGAUAAGCAGAGGAGGGACUUCUUAAGUGAGGCUAGCAUCAUGGGCCAGUUUGACCAUCCCAACAUCAUCCACCUUGAAGGAGUCGUCACCAAAUGUAAGCCCGUCAUGAUCAUCACAGAAUACAUGGAGAAUGGAUCCUUGGAUGCAUUCCUGCGGAAGAAUGAUGGAAGAUUCACGGUGAUUCAGUUGGUGGGAAUGUUGAGAGGCAUUGGAUCUGGAAUGAAGUAUCUUUCCGACAUGAGCUAUGUUCACCGGGACCUGGCUGCCCGGAACAUCCUAGUAAACAGUAACUUGGUCUGCAAGGUUUCUGACUUUGGCAUGUCGCGAGUCUUGGAGGAUGACCCAGAGGCUGCCUACACCACCAGGGGAGGAAAAAUCCCCAUCAGAUGGACAGCGCCGGAAGCGAUUGCGUAUCGUAAAUUCACAUCUUCCAGUGAUGUGUGGAGCUAUGGCAUUGUCAUGUGGGAAGUCAUGUCGUACGGAGAGAGGCCUUAUUGGGACAUGUCCAAUCAAGAUGUCAUCAAAGCCAUAGAAGAGGGAUACCGCUUGCCCCCUCCAAUGGACUGUCCAAUACCCCUGCAUCAGCUGAUGCUUGACUGCUGGCAGAAGGAGCGCAGCGAUCGACCUAAAUUUGCACAAAUUGUGAGCAUGCUGGACAAGUUAAUCCGGAACCCAAACAGUUUAAAAAGGACAGGCGUGGAGACAUCCAGAACUAACACAGCGCUGCUGGACCCCAGCUCGCCUGAAUGGUCCCAGGUGGUGUCUGUGGUGGAUUGGCUGCAGGCCAUCAAAAUGGAGAGAUACAAAGAUAACUUCACAGCGGCCGGAUACACCAGCCUGGAAGCAGUGGUGCAUGUAAAUCAAGACGAUCUAACACGGAUUGGCAUCACUUCCCCCGCACACCAGAACAAGAUCCUCAGCAGUGUCCAGGGAAUGAGGAACCAGAUGCAACAACUACAAGGGAGGAUGGUUCCCGUCUGAGACCGCAGAAGGCCAGGGGUGGACGUUACACUCUCAGAACUCUUGAAAAAUUAGUUUACCUCAUCCAUGCACUUUAAUUGAAGAACUGCACUUUUUUUACAUUACACUCACCUCCAUUGGACACAUUGGACUCUUUAACGAUGAGGCGGUGAGGUGGAACGCAUUGAACACAAAAGAAUUAGUCAUUUGUGCCACACCUUCUGUAGAUCAUGCAUCGGUGACACAAGCUUAUAACGUUAAAAAAGGGAAGAACACUGACGUUUUGGUAUACAGUAAAACCAGAUACAUCUCAUUUACAAGACUUUUCAUGGAUUAUUUUGCCUGUGACACGGACACCUUUUAUGGAGUAAAUUUCACCCUACCUUGUGACCUUGUUGAAGAUGCAGACCAUUUUUGUUGGGAGACAUAGAGCCAUCUUGUCUAUACGCCAGUGGCAGACUGUGAAAAACUGUGGCCAUCUUCUUGCUCUAAGCUCAUCUCAGCAUCGUCUUGGAAAACCUGAUUCAGUGGAGAUCCUUAGUAGGAACGCAGUCCCUUACUACAUGCUCGAGCUAAAGGAAAGGUUAUAAAAGGGAGUCCAACAUGAUGUCCUACAGAGACUGUACCACUGAAUCAAAACAUUGUUUUUCCAAACUCCAAAGAUGUCACAAAACUGGUCGCCGAUUCUUCGUUAAAGAAAGGAGAGAGUCCUAAAAUCCACAUAAUCCUAUGGGUCUUCCUGUGUAUUCUCUCUCAGACACAUAUCUGCCUCUAAUGAGAUCCGCUGUUUAUCAGUC